Molecule: long non-coding RNA, 233 nt
Filed under: Hordeum vulgare
Lineage: Eukaryota; Viridiplantae; Streptophyta; Magnoliopsida; Poales; Poaceae
Description: long non-coding RNA (HVUL_LNC002865)
Source: RNAcentral
GCAUGCGCUUGCACGGGUUGCACUCCGUCGGCAUGGUCGGUCGGCGAUCGAGUUCCUGAUCGGCCGUUCCGCCGUCCCUUCUUGGUCGCCGGAGUAGAUUAGAGUCGCCGGCUACGAUGAUUGCAUGUCGCGGUUGUUAGGAUCCAGGAUCGAUUCGGGUGUUGAUGGAUGAUUGAAAUGUGGGAUUCUUAUGGGUGGUGAUGGUUGAGGACCUGGACGUACGUGGUGCUCAC